RNAcentral lists this transfer RNA (72 nucleotides) under Gloeobacter morelensis MG652769. RNAcentral describes it as "tRNA-Gly". It matches the Rfam family "tRNA". Rfam says of the family: Transfer RNA (tRNA) molecules are approximately 80 nucleotides in length. Their secondary structure includes four short double-helical elements and three loops (D, anti-codon, and T loops). Lineage: Bacteria; Bacillati; Cyanobacteriota; Cyanophyceae; Gloeobacterales; Gloeobacteraceae. The record is from RNAcentral. RNAcentral also lists the same sequence under 1 other name.
GCGGGUGUAACUCAGCGGUAGAGUGCUUCCUUGCCAAGGAAGAUGUCGAGAGUUCGAAUCUCUUCACCCGCU